Non-coding RNA from Oncorhynchus mykiss (rainbow trout), 986 nucleotides. Lineage: Eukaryota; Metazoa; Chordata; Actinopteri; Salmoniformes; Salmonidae. The record is from RefSeq and is a predicted model, not a curated record.
GAGAGGAUGGGAUGAGAGAAGUGGUAGAGAGAGUAGAAGUAAAGCGAGAGAGAGUAGAGGUAGAUUCUCCAUAGAUACAGAGGGUUAGAGAGGUUCUCCAUAGAUACAGAGGGUUAGAGAGGUUCUCCAUAGAUACAGAGGGUUAGAGAGGUUCUCCAUAGAUACAGAGGGUUAGAGAGGUUCUCCAUAGAUGCAGAGGGUUAGAGAAGUUCUCCAUAGAUACAGAGGGUUAGAGAAGUUCUCCAUAGAUACAGAGGGUUAAAGAAGUUCUCCAUAGAUACAGAGGGUUAGAGAGGUUCUCCAUAGAUACAGAGGGUUAGAGAGGUUCUCCAUAGAUACAGAGGGUUAGAGAGGUUCUCCAUAGAUACAGAGGGUUAGAGAAGUUCUCCAUAGAUACAGAGGGUUAGAGAGGUUCUCCAUAGAUACAGAGGGUUAGAGAGGUUCUCCAUAGAUACAGAGGGUUAGAGAAGUUCUCCAUAGAUACAGAGGGUUAGAGAGGUUCUCCAUAGAUACAGAGGGUUAGAGAGGUUCUCCAUAGAUACAGAGGGUUAGAGAGGUUAUCCAUAGAUACAGAGGGUUAGAGGGGUUCUCCAUAGAUACAGAGGGUUAGAGAGGUUCUCCAUAGAUACAGAGGGUUAGAGAGGUUCUCCAUAGAUACAGAGGGUUAGAGAGGUUCUCCAUAGAUACAGAGGGUUAGAGAGGUUCUCCAUAGAUACAGAGGGUUAGAGAGGUUCUCCAUAGAUACAGAGGGUUAGAGAGAUUCUCCAUAGAUACAGAGGUUCUCCAUAGAUACAGAGGGUUAGAGAGGUUCUCCAUAGAUACAGAGGGUUAGAGAGGUUCUCCAUAGAUACAGAGGGUUAGAGAGGUUCUCCAUAGAUACAGAGGGUUAGAGAGGUUAUCCAUAGGAUACAGAGGGUUAGAGAGGUUCUCCAUAGAUACAGAGGGUUAGAGAGGUUCUCCAUAGAUACAGAGGGUUAGAGAGGUUC